Molecule: long non-coding RNA, 1078 nt
Organism: Halichondria panicea
Lineage: Eukaryota; Metazoa; Porifera; Demospongiae; Suberitida; Halichondriidae
Exons: 3
Source: RefSeq, a predicted model, not a curated record
GUGGGAUUUCAGAGAUUUCAGAGAUUUCAAGAUUUCGGGAUUUCAUGAGAUUUUAUGAGAUUUCAAAAGAUUUCAAAAGUAGGUGUACAAGAUUUCACGGAGUGUCGGACCCCUCGUAGAUAGUAUAGUAUGUUUGAAGAUGCCAAGAUCAAGCUUCAAAAACAAGGCUAGAUGAACAUCUCAUAUAGCUAGGUAGGUACUAGCAGUCGAACAGCAACUGGAAUAAAUGCGAGAAGUUUAUUUUCCAGGAGGUGGGCGUGUCCGGAAGCAAAUAGCUGGUGCCAUUGUGUGAGUAGCUGCCUGUAGUUAGAGCUGUGUAGCAUAGACCCAGACCACUGUUAGAAGCUGUUCAAAGCUCAGAAGGCCAUUGAUGACUUUUGUCUCUAUAUUCUCCUUGUCACUGUCACUGGUCUUCGCUGUCUGAGUCCAAUUCAAUUUCCGGCUCUUUCGUUUCAGCAAUCUCUCUGCAAAUGGACCAGAAGUACACCCUGGUCCACAGCCACAGUAAUAAUGGCUGUAUCCCACUGCUGCUAACAUUUAAAAACUCGCUGUUACGUGGCAAAUAACGGUGAGAUUAAUUAACCUGUUGCUCGUUAAUGUUGGAUGUUCAGGAAUAAUUUAUGAGUAACAUUACAGGUUUAUUCCACUUGCUAGGUAUACUAAAUAAGCUGGGUAGGUUAGCUGAGCUUCUCUACAGUGGGGUAAGCAUAUACAGUGGUCUGUUCAGGCAAUUCCUGAUUAAAAAAAUAUUUGACCUGUAAUAAUAGCAUAUUUUUCGUACCGCAGAAUACAAGUACGACUGAUUUGGACGAUGCUUAGAAUGUAUUGAGGAGGACAUCUGUUGGAUGUAAUACACAAAAUGUGGCUUAUUGUGUGCUCACAUCUCUCCAACUAGUACUAUUUUAUACAGCAUUUUCAACGAUGCAUUUCUCGACUCUCAAUGGAUCGACACGAAAAACAAUUACAUAUAAAUGUUCAUCAAUCCUAUAAGAUAGCACUGAACAUGUUCAAAUUCAUCUCAUAUACUUUUGCAACAAUUUGUCUGUUCAGUUUGCUGUGGCAUGUAAAUUUGUCUAAA